CCUACGGGAGGCAGCAGUUAGGAAUUUUGGGCAAUGGGCGAAAGCCUGACCCAGCAACGCCGCGUGGGUGACGAAGGCCUUCGGGUUGUAAAGCCCUUUUCUGAGGGAAGAUGAUGACGGUACCUCAGGAAUAAGCACCGGCUAACUACGUGCCAGCAGCCGCGGUAAUACGUAGGGUGCAAGCGUUGCCCGGAUUUAUUGGGCGUAAAGGGCGCGCAGGCGGCUACGCACGUCCGUUGUGAAAUCGCUCGGCUCAACUGGGCGGGGUCAGCGGAUACGGCGUAGCUGGAGCAAGCUAGGGGGCAAUGGAAUUCCCGGUGUAGUGGUGGAAUGCGUAGAUAUCGGGAGGAACACCAGUGGCGAAGGCGGUUGCCUGGAGCUUUGCUGACGCUGAGGCGCGAAAGCGUGGGGAGCGAUCCGGAUUAGAUACCCGGGUAGUCCACGCCGUAAACGAUGUCGACUAGGUGUCGGGGGUAUCGACCCCCUCGGCGCCGCAGCACGACAUAGUCGACCGCCGUCGGACGUACGCCGCAGACUAACUACAAGAAGUAGACGGCGNGAGACGUGUCCGAACGGACGACGACGAGGGAGGUAGG
This 596-nucleotide ribosomal RNA is filed under the name uncultured bacterium. RNAcentral describes it as "bacterial SSU rRNA". The stretch from base 1 to 516 matches the Rfam family "Bacterial small subunit ribosomal RNA", at positions 338 to 873 of the family's 1533-position model. The record is from RNAcentral.